AUUGAACGCUGGCGGCAGGCCUAACACAUGCAAGUCGAGCGGAUGAACGGAGCUUUCUCCUGGCUUCCGCGGCCGACGGGCGAGUAAUGCCUAGGAAUCUGCCUGGUCGUGGGGGAUAACGUCCGUACACGGGCGCUAAUACCGCAUACGUCCUUAUGGUGAACCUGGGGGAUCUUCGGACCUCACGCUAUCAGCUGAGCCUAGGCCGGAUUAGCUAGUUGGUGAGGUAAAGGCCUACCAAGGCGACGAUCCGUAGCUGGUCUGAGAGGCUGAUCAGACACACUGGAACUGAGACACGGUCCAGACUCCUACGGGAGGCAGCAGUAGGGAAUAUUGGGCAAUGGGCGAAAGCCUGAUCCAGCCAUGCCGCGUGUGUGAAGAAGGUCUUCGGAUUGUAAAGCACUUUAAGUUGGGAGGAAGAGAAGUAAGAUAAUACCUUGCUGUUUUGACGGUACCAACAGAAUAAGCCCCGGCUAACUUCGUG
Molecule: ribosomal RNA, 484 nt
Filed under: uncultured bacterium
Lineage: Bacteria
Description: partial 16S ribosomal RNA
Rfam family: Bacterial small subunit ribosomal RNA
Source: RNAcentral